UACAGGCAUUUCACUGCGCAGACUGGAGCCAGACAGUCCCUGUGUCAAGAACAGUUGGCAUUUCAUCUGCUUUGCUUUGAGAAUGAAUUCAGAUGCCUAUCCCGAGAAGAAUCUGCAUCUGUGUUCAAGAGGGCAACCACUGUAAAGCCAACCUGCGGAGAGCCGUCCGCCUCACACACAUGUCCAGGAUGUACCGACAUCACUGUGGAUCAUCAUCAUGGAGAGCCAGCUGCAGCGGUUUGACCCUUGGGGUCCUGAUGACUGGGCCCUGAUUGACUCUGAGACAUAGCAGGGGCAGUGGUGAAGACUUACUCCAGACAAAAUAGAAAGAGAGAUUUGAGAACUAUAGGACAUAAAAACAUCUCUCCAAUAUACAGUGCUGUAUCAUUAGAAGACAUUUCAUUUUUUGUUCAAGUAAAUCGACGGUUGAAUUACAUUUUUUCCCCAAAAUGAAAGCAUAGACUGCUUCCUGGGACUGAUACUUUACUCUAAUAUAUUCAUAUUUUAAA
This is a long non-coding RNA of Salvelinus fontinalis (brook trout), 509 nucleotides long. RefSeq lists it as uncharacterized. Lineage: Eukaryota; Metazoa; Chordata; Actinopteri; Salmoniformes; Salmonidae. The transcript is spliced from 2 exons. The record is from RefSeq and is a predicted model, not a curated record.